AACGAACGCUGGCGGCAGGCUUAACACAUGCAAGUCGAACGGCUGUAGCAAUACAGCAGUGGCAGACGGGUGAGUAACACGUGGGAACCUUCCUAGGGGUACGGAACAACUCAGGGAAACUUGAGCUAAUACCGUAUACGUCCGUAAGGAGAAAGAUUCAUCGCCCCUAGACGGCCCGCGUCGGAUUAGGUAGUUGGUGGGUAACGGCCUACCAAGCCUGCGAUCCGUAGCUGAUCUGAGAGGAUGAUCAGCCA
Molecule: ribosomal RNA, 254 nt
Filed under: uncultured bacterium
Lineage: Bacteria
Description: partial 16S ribosomal RNA
Rfam family: Bacterial small subunit ribosomal RNA
Source: RNAcentral